ACUAAAUUGACAGAUUAAUGUAUCAAAUUUAGAAUUUGAAUAUGUCUAAAUGACAUUUAGUA
Molecule: transfer RNA, 62 nt
Filed under: Macrocheles nataliae
Lineage: Eukaryota; Metazoa; Arthropoda; Arachnida; Mesostigmata; Macrochelidae
Description: tRNA-Leu
Source: RNAcentral